Molecule: small RNA, 338 nt
Filed under: Photobacterium phosphoreum
Lineage: Bacteria; Pseudomonadati; Pseudomonadota; Gammaproteobacteria; Vibrionales; Vibrionaceae
Description: cspA thermoregulator
Rfam family: cspA thermoregulator
Source: RNAcentral
UCGUAUUAUUACUUGUAAAUAUUAUCAUUUCAAAUUAUUGCACUACGCGAUAGUUCAAUCAGAUUCAAAUUAAGGGACACAUCAUGUCUAAUACAACAACUGGUCUAGUAAAAUGGUUUAACGAAGAGAAAGGUUUUGGUUUCAUUACUCAAGACAACGGCGGUGCUGACGUAUUCGUUCACUUCCGUGCUAUCGCUUCUGAAGGCUUCAAGACAUUGGCUGAAGGUCAAAAAGUGUCUUUCGAAGUAGAACAAGGCCAAAAAGGCCUACAAGCUGCAAAUGUUGUAGCUAUCUAAUUUAUCCUCGUUGAUAAAUAAUAAAAAUGCUGGCUAAGGCCG